CAUAAAAAUUGUGAAAAAUUUUUGAUUUUAUUUAGAAAUUUAGGUAAUUUUAAAAAAAGUAGUAGAUUUACUACUAUUUUAAAAACUCCCUUUUUGAUAUUUUUUCUAAAAAAUCUUUCAAAAUUACCUAAUAUUAGUGAUUGUGAGAAGAUUUAACUUUAAAUGAAACUAUUUUAAAAAAAGUAGUAGAUUUACUACUAUUUUAAAAAUUCGUUUUUUAUACUUUUUUCUUUAAAAAGAAAAGAAUUCUUUGGCAAACUUGGAAAAACUUUAUGAAAAUUCACAAUUUUAAUAUGAAAUUUUAGUUGACUUAAAAAAUAGUAGUAGAUAUACUACUAUUUAGAAACAUUAUUUUGAAUACUUUUUCUAUAAAAUAACUCAAAAAUACUUAAUAAUUGUGUUUUUAAUAUAGUUUUAAAGAGAAUAAACUAAAAUUGAGAUUAUUUAAAAAAAGUAGUAGAUUUACUACUAUUUUAAAAACUCCUUUUUUUGGUAUUUUUUCUAAAAAAAAAUCUUUCAAAAUUACCUUAUAUUAGUGAUUUCGAGAAGAGUUAACUUUAAAUGAAACUAUUUAAAAAAGUAGUAAAUUUACUACUAUUUAAAAAAAGUAGUAGAUUUACUACUAUUUUAAAAAGUUUUUUAAAAAUGAUUUCUUAACAAAUUUAUGGCUUCAGUGGACAAUAUUUAAGGAAAAUUAUCAUUUUCAUGCAUAAAUUUGUAUGAAUAGAAAAAGUAGUAGAAAUACUACUAUUUUUAACUCUUAUACAAAUACUUGUACGAGGUUCUACUUUAAAACAUUUGCUUUGCAAAACAUUUGUUAGAAAAUUUAGUAAAAAUCCUACGUUUUUUAUUACUUUUUAUUUGAUUAAAUAGCUUUUAGUUGACAACACUGUUAAAGAGAGCUUUUAUGCAAUACUAAUUGGACUUUUAUCAUUUGGCAAAUAAAUAUGACUUAAUAACUUCUUUCCCUUUUAUUCCCAAUCGUUUUUUUUUUGUUUCUACUAAACUUUUCUUAAAACUUUUUUUAAAUAAAAUUUUUGUUAAAAAUUUAUGAUUUAUUUAAGUAAAUUUUAGUUGUUAUUGUAAUGCAAUUGCCAACUUGUAAUGGGAGCCUGUUUGUAUGCAACAUUUUAACUAUUUGAAUAAAAUUGUGAAUAAAAAAGAAAAUCUAAUGAAAACUCAACGAAAAA
This is a long non-coding RNA of Lucilia cuprina (Australian sheep blowfly), 1190 nucleotides long. RefSeq lists it as uncharacterized. The transcript has 2 exons. NCBI's taxonomy places the organism in Eukaryota, Metazoa, Arthropoda, Insecta, Diptera, Calliphoridae. The record is from RefSeq and is a predicted model, not a curated record.